Podarcis lilfordi (Lilford's wall lizard) is the source of this 66-nucleotide non-coding RNA. The record is from the annotation of a GenBank genome assembly. NCBI's taxonomy places the organism in Eukaryota, Metazoa, Chordata, Lepidosauria, Squamata, Lacertidae.
GAUAGCUCAGUUGAUAGAGCACGAGACUCUUACUCUUAGGGUUGUGAGUUCGAGGCCCAUGUUGCA